GGCUCAGGACGAACGCUGGCGGCGCGCCUAAUACAUGCAAGUCGAGCGAGAAGACGUAGCAAUACGUUUGUAAAGCGGCGAACGGGUGAGGAAUACAUGGGUAACCUACCCUCGAGUGGGGAAUAACUAGCCGAAAGGUUAGCUAAUACCGCAUACGACUCUCGAUCUUCGGGUCGGGAGGGAAAGCGAUACCGUGGGUAUCGCGCUCUUGGAUGGGCUCAUGUCCUAUCAGCUUGUUGGUGAGGUAAUGGCUCACCAAGGCUUCGACGGGUAGCUGGUCUGAGAGGACGAUCAGCCACACUGGCACUGCGACACGGGCCAGACUCCUACGGGAGGCAGCAGUAAGGAAUAUUGCGCAAUGGACGAAAGUCUGACGCAGCGACGCCGCGUGGGGGAUGAAGGUCUUCGGAUUGUAAACCCCUUUCGGGAGGGAAGAUGGAGUGGGUAACCACUUGGACGGUACCCCCAGAAGCAGCCACGGCUAACUUCGUGCCAGCAGCCGCGGUAAUACGAAGGUGGCAAGCGUUGUUCGGAUUCACUGGGCGUACAGGGAGCGUAGGCGGUUGGGUAAGCCCUCCGUGAAAUCUCCGGGCCUAACCCGGAAAGUGCAGAGGGGACUGCCCGGCUUGAGGACGGGAGAGGAGCGCGGAAUUCCCGGUGUAGCGGUGAAAUGCGUAGAGA
Molecule: ribosomal RNA, 681 nt
Filed under: uncultured nitrite-oxidizing bacterium
Lineage: Bacteria
Description: bacterial SSU rRNA
Rfam family: Bacterial small subunit ribosomal RNA
Source: RNAcentral